This is a non-coding RNA of Cinara cedri, 617 nucleotides long. The record is from the annotation of a GenBank genome assembly. Lineage: Eukaryota; Metazoa; Arthropoda; Insecta; Hemiptera; Aphididae.
AAUGCAUUUAACAUAAUGAACAUUGAAAUUGAUAAAGAAUUUUUACGUUCACAAAGAAUGCCAGGUCGUCCAGGUUGUUUGCUAGGAGUUGACAUGCAACUUAUGAAAAAAGAAAAAAGACAAACUAUUAGAAAAAAUACAGAGGCAAGAAAACGACAAAAAUAUGAAGCUGAACUUUCAAAUAUUGAACAAGGUAAUUAUUACAAUUUUAAUACUGAAAAACAUUCAACUACCUAUUGUAGCUAUCUAUUCAUUGAUCAUAUUAUAAAUUAUUUUACUAUUAUAUUAUAGUUGAAACACGGGCAUUCACUAGUUCCGAGGAAGAGGAGAACAUAGAAUGUAGUAUGAAUUCAGAAUAUGAAGAUAUACCCGGUUCAUCUGAAGUUCAAAGAGCAACCAAAUCAAUCAUGACAUCUAGGCUUUCUGCAGCUUUAGAUAAAUGUAUGGUCAGUGAUAGAGACGCAGUACAUUUAUUAACAGCAAGUAUAGAAAGUCUUUCUUUAAAUCUGACUAGUUAUAUUAUUAAUAGAACAUCUAUUAGAAAUUUCCGAGAAAGUAUUCGAAAAGAAAUCGCAGAAAAAGUUCAUUCAGAUUUUGUUAGUUUAAAUGUAGAUUUU